CCUACGGGAGGCAGCAGUGGGGAAUAUUGCACAAUGGGGGAAACCCUGAUGCAGCGACGCCGCGUGAGUGAAGAAGUAUUUCGGUAUGUAAAGCUCUAUCAGCAGGGAAGAAAUAGCGACCUUUGGGUCGCCAGACGGUACCUGAUUAAGAAGCCCCGGCUAACUACGUGCCAGCAGCCGCGGUAAUACGUAGGGGGCAAGCGUUAUCCGGAUUUACUGGGUGUAAAGGGAGCGUAGACGGCAGCGCAAGUCUGAAGUGAAAUGCCGGGGCGUAAACCCGGAACUGCUUUGGAAACUGGGCAGACAGAGUGCAGGAGAGGUAAGUGGAAUUCCUAGUGUAGCGGUGAAAUGCGUAGAUAUUAGGAGGAACACCAGUGGCGAAGGCGGCUUACUGGACUGUAACUGACGUUGAGGCUCGAAAGCGUGGGGAGCAAACAGGAUUAGAUACCCCGGUAGUC
Molecule: ribosomal RNA, 458 nt
Filed under: uncultured bacterium
Lineage: Bacteria
Description: partial 16S ribosomal RNA
Rfam family: Bacterial small subunit ribosomal RNA
Source: RNAcentral